RNAcentral lists this ribosomal RNA (332 nucleotides) under uncultured bacterium. RNAcentral describes it as "bacterial SSU rRNA". It matches the Rfam family "Bacterial small subunit ribosomal RNA", at positions 568 to 898 of the family's 1533-position model. The record is from RNAcentral.
UGCGCAGGCGGCCCCGCAUGUCAGGCGUGAAAUCCCCGGGCUCAACUUGGGAAUGGCGCUUGAAACUACGGGGCUGGAGUGUGGCAGAGGGAGGUGGAAUUCCACGUGUAGCGGUGAAAUGCGUAGAGAUGUGGAGGAACACCGAUGGCGAAGGCAGCCUCCUGGGCCAACACUGACGCUCAUGCACGAAAGCGUGGGGAGCAAACAGGAUUAGAUACCCUGGUAGUCCACGCCCUAAACGAUGACGACUAGUUGUUGGGGGAGUUAAAUCCCUUAGUAACGCAGCUAACGCGUGAAGUCGUCCGCCUGGGGAGUACGGUCGCAAGAUUAAA